Molecule: long non-coding RNA, 523 nt
Organism: Pantherophis guttatus
Lineage: Eukaryota; Metazoa; Chordata; Lepidosauria; Squamata; Colubridae
Source: RefSeq, a predicted model, not a curated record
ACUGCUUAGAGAGGGCUGUGAAGCACUGUGAAGUGAUUGAUAUUUACUUGCUGUCUGAAGUUAUUUUGGCUGUCACGGAGUUAAAAACUGCAAACCCAUAUCAACAUGUUUCACUUCAAGACAUAUAUUGACAAUAUUCAGAAGUUGAGCUUACGAUACAACGAGGUUUGCUCUCAUUUCCAUUUUCAUGAACCAAGGAUGCUGAACAAUAAGUUCUGGGAGAGUCAGGAGUGACACAUUCGUACUUUAUAAUAAAUAUGGGUGAUUGUGUGAGUUACUCCCAUUAAGUUUAAUAGUAGCCACAUGGUAAAUUUCCCUCUGAUUGCACCAUGGCUCUCGGCCAUCGUCUGAUUGCACAAGACAGUAUUUGGAUGAAAGAUCGACUAACCAAAAUUAAGUACCACAGGAAGUCGUGGGAUUGACUAAGAACUCACAUUUGGAGCACUGCUUAAUGAGUCUUCAGAGAACUUAUGUUGCAGAAUACAAUGAAGAUUUCUGGAAUAAAUAAUGCUUGGAGCAGAUG